AGCCUAAGUGCUCUUAUAAUAUCACCAUAGCCGAAUAUAAACAAAAGAAGAAAAAAAAAGAGAAGAAACUAGAUUCGGCCAUCUCCCAAGUUCAAAUUCAAGAUCAAGAACUAAAGAAAUCGGAUUUGGAUCGGGGAAAAACGAAAGUUGUCGACUAGCUUCCCGAUUCCAUUUUGUACCGUCCGAGAUUCUUUUUGGAAAGUCAAGUUACAAGCUCGGGGAUCAUCUGCGAAGCUCAUCACACUAUCUACUAUUUUAGAUUAUCUAAGCUAGCUCGGACUAGGGGAUCGUCGAGAAAUGUUAUCACACUAUCGAUCAUCUCAUUGGUACUUUUGAAGCAUCAUAUAUUGUAAUUUUGUUAUGUUUUGAGAUAUAGUAUAGCCAUGAGACUUGGCUUGUUUUUGUUGUAAAUGUUGGCAUGAAUUUGACUAUUUAAAUUGGCUUAAGUAUGUGUUUGAUAAGUGAUAUAUGUGAUAUAUAUAUAUAUAAUGUCUUAUAUGUUGGCUUGAUUUGAGAUGUUUGCCAUAGUUGUUGAUAUAGCUAAAUGAAUUGUUCAAUUGGUUGGUUAUUAGUUGAUGUAUAAAUACUUGGAAUUUGGCAUAUUGUGGUUUGAUUUUGAGAUGAUCAUAUGGUGUGUUUUGUAGCAUGAAUUAGAUGAUAAUGUGACGAGUAAGUGUAUUUAGAAGUUAUGUAAGAUUUCACGAUUUUGGCAUAAUGAUUUGGUAUGUUUU
This is a long non-coding RNA of Gossypium arboreum, 731 nucleotides long. RefSeq lists it as uncharacterized. The record is from RefSeq and is a predicted model, not a curated record. The transcript is spliced from 4 exons. NCBI's taxonomy places the organism in Eukaryota, Viridiplantae, Streptophyta, Magnoliopsida, Malvales, Malvaceae.